AUACCAGCUCUCCGAGUGGUAGGGAUGAUUAUUGGGCUUAAAGCGUCCGUAGCCGGCUUAGCGAGUCUCCUGUUAAAUUCAGCGACUCAAUCGUUGACCCGCGGGAGAUACUACUAGGCUAGGAGGCGGGAGAGGUCGACGGUACUUCUGGGGUAGGGGUGAAAUCCUAUAAUCCCGGGAGGACCACCAGUGGCGAAGGCUGUCGACUAGAACGCGCUCGACGGUGAGGGACGAAAGCUGGGGGAGCGAACCGGAUUAGAUACCCGGGUAGUCCCAGCUGUAAACGAUGCGGGCUAGGUGUUGGGGUGGCUACGGGCCACUUCAGUGCCGCAGGGAAGCCAUUAAGCCCGCCGCCUGGGGAGUACGGCCGCAAGGCUGAA
This 380-nucleotide ribosomal RNA is filed under the name uncultured bacterium. RNAcentral's name for it is "bacterial SSU rRNA". It matches the Rfam family "Archaeal small subunit ribosomal RNA", at positions 473 to 853 of the family's 1478-position model. The record is from RNAcentral. RNAcentral also lists the same sequence under 1 other name.